RNAcentral lists this long non-coding RNA (388 nucleotides) under Gossypium raimondii (Peruvian cotton). RNAcentral's name for it is "long non-coding RNA (GRAI_LNC008681)". The record is from RNAcentral. Lineage: Eukaryota; Viridiplantae; Streptophyta; Magnoliopsida; Malvales; Malvaceae.
CUCACGAAUUGAGAGAGCUUCGGGCUCUCAAGGAUGUUGUGAAGCGGGGGAAAAAGAGCUCCUUUUCCAUUGCCAGACGCCGGCCAUGGUGGUGACGUGACGGGAUCGGUAGACCGCCGGCCAUUUGAGGGGUGGAGAGCCCUCUUUCUUUUUUUUUUUUAUUUUUUACGGCUGAAGAUGAAAUUAGGGUUGGUUUUGAAGCUUUUAAAUCCUCUUUAAACGGUGUCGUUUAGGCUUGGGGUUCAGAGACCAAAAACGGCAUCAUUUUGGUCUCUGACCCGCGACCCGACCCGUCCAAUGCCCAGGAUCCGCGCGUUUUUCCUUUGGGGAUAUUAUUCGCGUUGGUCCUUCCAUUCUUCAGCGCGUUUCAAUGCAGUGCUACCUUUUA